AAAAACCCGUCGGAAAGGGGAAAAGACAGGACACCUCUCUUCCUCGAUGCCCCGUUUCCAACCGCCGCUGAUUUCCCAGGCCCCGUUGUGUCAAUUUGAUCGACUUGGCGGUAACUGUUGGCAGCACUUUGAUUUCCCCAUUU
Non-coding RNA from Caenorhabditis elegans, 143 nucleotides. NCBI's taxonomy places the organism in Eukaryota, Metazoa, Nematoda, Chromadorea, Rhabditida, Rhabditidae. The record is from Ensembl.